Molecule: long non-coding RNA, 2435 nt
Organism: Rhea pennata
Lineage: Eukaryota; Metazoa; Chordata; Aves; Rheiformes; Rheidae
Exons: 3
Source: RefSeq, a predicted model, not a curated record
GUCAUUUUAGUUCUGGUUUCCUCGGGCUUUGCAGAGCCCUGGGAAUCCCAGCCAGCUGAGCAGCAGCUCCCCGGCAAGGACUGCUCCCCUCGGGGCGGGGGCACUGAGGCGCACACAGCCCACUCACCAGCUCUUCAGGAAUCAAACACCGGGCCCGACCCGGCCCCGCGCUUCCUACCGGCCCCGCCGCGCCCGCCCUCCGCCUCCCCAUUGGCCAACGCCGCGCCGCGCCGCAUGCUGAUUAGGCGAGGCGGUUGCCGCUCACUGGGAAAACUGUCCCCGCCUCCUGUGGGCAUGGAUUGGCUGGCGCAGACGUCACUGGGCUGGUAGCUCCGCCCCCCUCGGUAUUUGAAUCCAGGUCCCGCCCUUCGUGGCCUAGUCGGGCCUGGGGCCGGGAGGGCGGCGGGCGUCUGCGGGGCGGGGUGGUGCUUCUGCCCCUGCGCCGCCCUGACGAUUCCUGUGGCUGUUUUUUCUUUUUGUUAGCAGUUGCUCUUGAGACAAAACCAUCCCCUGUGACGGCCCUCCUCAGUCCACACUCGCUGGUGGCACACCAGAAUUCCUAUGCGUUUCAGCUUUCACCUUGCCAGGCUAAGCCCCAGCUCCUCUUGCGUUUGCAAUUCUCCAACGGCCUGUUCUUGCAGCCCUUCUGUCUCUUGUGUGCUCUGUCUCUUGAUCGUACAAGGCGAGCUGCCUUCUGUCUUCUGAUGGUGUCUCACUAAAUCCUAGGACCAUAACACGUUCCAGGAUUGAACACAGGGCAAAGGAAGUCAAAUUCUGGACAGUCCUUCUUGCUGUACUUCAGGAAAGCUGCAGUAACUAACCAGCCUAUGUAACAGGAUUGUAAUCUCUCUCAGUGUGUGUUUGAGAAGGGUUCCACACCUCACCAAAGGAGUUGUCUGACUGCAUAUAUCAGCAAGGUAUAGAGAGAAAGUAUUUUGAAAAAUAUCCUGAAGUAUACCAAUGUCUCUGCCUCAUCCUAGGAAGACGAUGUGAACAGGCUGUAUAUUUGGACUUUGGAGCUUUGCACUAUAUUAGAAGGGAAGAAGGCAUACAGAAGAAAAGAUGUGAUUUUUCCAAAUAAAGUUAUCUAGGAAAAGUCCUCUCUCCCUUCAUAGCAUGCAAGUUAUGACGUGAGGAAGGUGAGUGCACUUUGGCACAGGACUUCAGGAAGCCAGGAAAGGAUUACACAGAGCAGCGCCUGAGGAAAGGGAGUAACAGGGGAGCAGCCCUGCCCGCAACAGUUAAUCCCCUGUAAAACUUGCCUUUAAUAGAAAAGUGAAGCAACUCCAAGUCAAAUCCAGCUUUACCUUAAAAAAAAAGGACUGAUAACAAAUGUUGCUAACUGUGUAAUCUUCUAAAAGGAAAUCAGCUUCUCUGAGCAAGUGCAACCACAGAGCAGCUUCCUUUGUAUCGGCUGCAGCUUUCAUCUGACCAGGAUCUCUCUGAACAAGAAGGUCGCUGAGGCAUUGUACUGCUUUGCAAUAAAGGAAUCGCCUAAGGCAGGCUUUUGUCUGCCCCCCUCUUCCCCCUCCAAAAAAAAUGCUUUCUGAAAACUGCAUUAACAUGAGCAACUCUGUAUCACAGACUUUACUGAAAGGUCCCUAGAUAGGAAUAACGCUCAGUGAGAAAUGUUUCCAAUUAGUUGAUUAUGAAUAUUUGAUUUCUGAUUACCAGUCUACUGACUAAAGAGUAAAUUUCUCCAUUAAUUAUAUUAGAAAUUAGCAUGAAGGAAUGUUGGCAAACAUUUGCAGCAUCCCUUUCUCCCACAUUCUUCUCCUCUAUGGUAAAGUUGGACCUCUCUGUGAAAUUGAAUUUCUGAUUUCAAAAAAAAUGAUCUUCUGUAUUUACAAAGGAAAAAGCCCAUCAUCUUUAUUAUAGUCUCAGAAUCUGCUAGAUUGUUCUUAAAAAUCCAAAUUAAAAAAAUGAAAAAUAAGGCAGCUUUUCCAUUUUCUCAAAAGCUAAACCAAGAUAUAUUUGUAACAUGGGCUUCACAGAGAAUUUUGCAGGAACUGUUGGAAGAGUGAGGAAUUCGAGGCACUGCACUUGGUGACUGCAGUUCAUGUUGGAAAGGUGUGGCACAUAGGUGUAGAGGGUACAGCACAAAUUUCAGUACUGACAAGCAGAUGCAGGUCAAGUUACACUACAACUAAGCCAGGCCCAGGAACUGUUUCCUUUGCUUCACCUUGCCUUUUCUGAACCUAAAACAAGUAUGUUCUCUUUGCUCAUCAAAGAAUGGAGCUGCAUCUCUGUGAGUAAUGAGUAGGAGAAAGAGAGUCAGUUCCUACGAAACAAACAGUUCCUGUGAAAGAAAGAAAAGGGAUCAGAUAGUCAUUAUAGCUGCAACCUUUCACAGAAACUAUAGCUUCUUGGAAGACAUGUUGUAAUGCUUACUUGAAGUAAUUAAAGAUCAAAUAUUAAAUCCAAUUGAACAAUAA